UACGUAGGGUGCAAGCGUUAAUCGGAAUUACUGGGCGUAAAGCGUACGCAGGCGGCUUUGCAAGACAGGUGUGAAAUCCCCGGGCCUAACCUGGGAACUGCAUUUGUGACUGCAUAGCUAGAGUUUGUCAGAGGGGGGUGGAAUUCCACGUGUAGCAGUGAAAUGCGUAGAUAUGUGGAGGAACACCGGUGGCGAAGGCGGUUCUCUGGGCAUGAUCUGACGCUGAGGAGCGAAAGUGUGGGGAGCGAACAGG
Molecule: ribosomal RNA, 253 nt
Filed under: uncultured bacterium
Lineage: Bacteria
Description: partial 16S ribosomal RNA
Rfam family: Bacterial small subunit ribosomal RNA
Source: RNAcentral